AGUGAACGCUGGCGGUAGGCCUAACACAUGCAAGUCGAACGGCAGCACAGUAAGAGCUUGCUCUUACGGGUGGCGAGUGGCGGACGGGUGAGGAAUACAUCGGAAUCUACUAUUUCGUGGGGGAUAACGUAGGGAAACUUACGCUAAUACCGCAUACGACCUACGGGUGAAAGCAGGGGAUCUUCGGACCUUGCGCGAUUGAAUGAGCCGAUGCCGGAUUAGCUAGUUGGCGGGGUAAAGGCCCACCAAGGCGACGAUCCGUAGCUGGUCUGAGAGGAUGAUCAGCCACACUGGAACUGAGACACGGUCCAGACUCCUACGGGAGGCAGCAGUGGGGAAUAUUGGACAAUGGGCGCAAGCCUGAUCCAGCCAUACCGCGUGGGUGAAGAAGGCCUUCGGGUUGUAAAGCCCUUUUGUUGGGAAAGAAAAGCAGCAGGUUAAUACCCCGCUGUUCUGACGGUACCCAAAGAAUAAGCACCGGCUAACUUCGUG
Molecule: ribosomal RNA, 492 nt
Filed under: uncultured bacterium
Lineage: Bacteria
Description: partial 16S ribosomal RNA
Rfam family: Bacterial small subunit ribosomal RNA
Source: RNAcentral